Molecule: ribosomal RNA, 599 nt
Filed under: Auricularia auricula-judae (jelly ear fungus)
Lineage: Eukaryota; Fungi; Basidiomycota; Agaricomycetes; Auriculariales; Auriculariaceae
Description: eukaryotic LSU rRNA
Rfam family: 5.8S ribosomal RNA (bases 189-342)
Source: RNAcentral
UCCGUAGGUGAACCUGCGGAAGGAUCAUUAAAGAUUCUAAGGCUUCGGUCUUAAUUUCGGCUGUGCGCUCAGGCUGCACGCCGAUAACCUCUCACACCUGUGCACCUUUUCUGGUUGCGGUUUCGGCCGCUUCCGCUUUUACAUGCAACCACGAAAAGUCUAGAAUGUGACGAGAACUAUAAAGUAACAACUUUCAACAACGGAUCUCUUGGCUCUCGCAUCGAUGAAGAACGCAGCGAAAUGCGAUAAGUAAUGUGAAUUGCAGAAUUCAGUGAAUCAUCGAAUCUUUGAACGCACCUUGCGCUCCUUGGUAUUCCAUGGAGCAUGCCUGUUUGAGUGUCACGUAAACCCUCACCCCUGCGAUGUAACAGUCGCCUGCGGUGGACUUGGACCGUGCCGGUAAUCGGCUCGUCUUGAAAUGCAUUAGCUGGYGCUUUUAGAGUGCUGGGCGAACGGUGUGAUAAUUAUCUGCGCCGACUGCCCUGGGCCUCUUCAGCGGCGCUGCUUACAGCCGUCCCUUGCGGACAACUAUUUUAAAGCUUUGGCCUCAAAUCAGGUAGGACUACCCGCUGAACUUAAGCAUAUCAAUAAGCGGAGGA